AGGACGAACGCUGGCGGCGUGCUUAACACAUGCAAGUCGAGCGAGGCCCCUUCCUUCGGGAGGGGAGCCCUAGCGGCGAACGGGUGAGUGACACGUGGGCAAUCUGCCCCUAGCACUGGGAUAACUCCGGGAAACCGGGGCUAAUACCGGAUAUGACCUCUGAGGGCAUCCUCUGGAGGUGGAAAGGAUUCUGGCUAGGGAUGAGCCCGCGGCCUAUCAGCUAGUUGGUGGGGUAAUGGCCUACCAAGGCGACGACGGGUA
RNAcentral lists this ribosomal RNA (261 nucleotides) under uncultured bacterium. RNAcentral describes it as "partial small subunit ribosomal RNA". It matches the Rfam family "Bacterial small subunit ribosomal RNA", at positions 26 to 285 of the family's 1533-position model. The record is from RNAcentral.